GGACGUGAGGCCUGUCUGGCUACAUCUGUCAUCCCAAUGACUGACUAGGUUGAUUUGUUAUCUGUCUGGCUAGGCUGUUCCUGCCUCCCUUCCUCACCACCUCCCCUACACUGCUCCUACACGCUAGCUCUACCCUCAGUCAGAAAGGGUAUACACCCUUUCCUCAUUACCUGGGUAUAAGGCAGAUAGCUGUGCUCCUCCGCUAGCCUCUAAAUAUGCUCUUGAAGACAACAGAACAUAAACAAAAGGAUACCUGAGUGACAAAAAAGCAACUGAAGAUCACUGCAGAGGCAGGCCAAUGCCAUCCCGGACAGU
Unclassified non-coding RNA from Mus spicilegus (steppe mouse), 315 nucleotides. Its record names the gene 7SK. It matches the Rfam family "7SK RNA". Rfam says of the family: 7SK was discovered as an abundant small nuclear RNA in the mid-70s but a possible function has only recently been suggested. Two independent studies have found that 7SK RNA binds the CDK9/cyclin T complex (known as elongation factor P-TEFb). P-TEFb activates transcription by phosphorylating the C-terminal domain of RNA polymerase II. The record is from Ensembl. NCBI's taxonomy places the organism in Eukaryota, Metazoa, Chordata, Mammalia, Rodentia, Muridae.